AGAGCGAACGCUGGCGGCAGGCCUAAUACAUGCAAGUCGAGCGCACCUUCGGGUGAGCGGCGGACGGGUGAGUAACGCGUGGGAAUGUGCCCUUUGGUACGGAACAACUGGGGGAAACUUCAGCUAAUACCGUAUGUGCCCUUCGGGGGAAAGAUUUAUCGCCAUUGGAGCAGCCCGCGUUGGAUUAGGUAGUUGGUGAGGUAAAGGCUCACCAAGCCUACGAUCCAUAGCUGGUCUGAGAGGAUGAUCAGCCACACUGGGACUGAGACACGGCCCAGACUCCUACGGGAGGCAGCAGUAGGGAAUCUUGCGCAAUGGGCGAAAGCCUGACGCAGCCAUGCCGCGUGAAUGAUGAAGGUCUUAGGAUUGUAAAAUUCUUUCACCGGGGAAGAUAAUGACGGUACCCGGAGAAGAAGCCCGGCUAACUUCGUGCCAGCAGCCGC
This 443-nucleotide ribosomal RNA is filed under the name uncultured bacterium. RNAcentral describes it as "SSU rRNA". It matches the Rfam family "Bacterial small subunit ribosomal RNA", at positions 26 to 518 of the family's 1533-position model. The record is from RNAcentral.